AUAACAGCUGGAAACGGUUGCUAAUACCGCAUGAGCCUCUUUUGUCGCAUGACGGGAGAGGGAAAGAGAAAUCGGUGAGAGAUGGAUCCGCGUCCGAUUAGCUAGUUGGAGGGGUAAAAGCCCACCAAGGCGACGAUCGGUAGCCGACCUGAGAGGGUGGACGGCCACAUUGGGACUGAGACACGGCCCAAACUCCUACGGGAGGCAGCAGUGGGGAAUAUUGCACAAUGGGGGAAACCCUGAUGCAGCAACGCCGCGUGAGUGAGGAAGUAUUUCGGUAUGUAAAGCUCUAUCAGCAGGGAAUAGAAAAGAAGGUACCUGAAAAAGAAGCCCCGGCUAACUACGUGCCAGCAGCCGCGGUAAUACGUAGGGGGCAAGCGUUAUCCGGAUUUACUGGGUGUAAAGGGAGCGUAGACGGAAAGGCAAGUCAGAAGUGAAAACCCAAGGCUCAACCAUGGGACUGCUUUUGAAACUGUCAAACUAGAGUACGGGAGAGGUAAGAGGAAUUCCUAGUGUAGCGGUGAAAUGCGUAGAUAUUAGGAGGAACACCAGUGGCGAAGGCGUCUUACUGGACCGAAACUGACGUUGAGGCUCGAAAGCGUGGGGAGCAAACAGGAUUAGAUACCCUGGUAGUCCACGCGGUAAACGAUGAAUACUAGGUGUUGGGGUAAAGAAACCUCGGUG
RNAcentral lists this ribosomal RNA (684 nucleotides) under uncultured bacterium. Its description in RNAcentral is "bacterial SSU rRNA". It matches the Rfam family "Bacterial small subunit ribosomal RNA", at positions 143 to 845 of the family's 1533-position model. The record is from RNAcentral.